CUGAUCUAAUAAGUUUCACAAUACUAACAGAUGACAAUAAUAACAGCAAUAAAGACAAGAAAUGAGGCAAAAGUGACUCACUUGUGCAGAAUAACGCUGAUGAAAUUCAUUCGUGCUUCUGCUAUGAACUUGAAACUUUCAGUUUCAUAUCUACAGAAACUGUCUGUCUACGGAUUGUAAAUACAGAUCCAUUUAACCCAGAAUGUCAUGAUUUGAUCAAUGAGUGUGUUCGCAUCACUGAAGUUACUCUGCGCGGCUGGUCCGUCAGUAAAUACCUCCCCUUCAUUUGUAGUUCCUUUGAUUUUAAGUUCUUCUCUUAUAAAUGUGCAUAUAAGUAAAAUUUAAUAACAUAACAUUUUAAAAUAUAUUCAGAACAUCCCUCCUGCUUCGUAAGACAAUAUCACAAAUAAAUGGAGUAAUUUAUUUUAUGACGCACGAGCCGGAAGUAAUGUUUGGGGUUACUCAUAUAUGUGCAGUAGUAUAUAUUCAUCCGUGUGGAGGUCAGAACUACUGUUUCACUGAGACUUUUGCUGUUUUGCCUGCUUACACGAAGACUAUAUAUUUCAGCAUGAAACCGUCCAAACCGUCCACUGGAAAGCGCCUUACAAAACCCAUUCUUUUUGGGACACUGCUCGUAGGUUUGGCCACAGCAUUUCUGAAUAGGCAUUUGUUCAUGGAGGACCUGACAGAUCUCAGGGAGCAGGAACGAUCCCGCAAUGAGGCCAAACGGCUGGAGGUGCUGGAAAGAAGGAGAAAACAAAUGGAUGAACUUGUAGAGAAGAAGAGUGCAGGGGACAGGUGAGAUGACUGAAUGGAAACCCGCAGGAAACCAACACUGAAGAAAACAUGGGACAUUUUUUUGCCAAUAAGGAUUUGUGGAGUGUUAUAAAACUUUUUCCUUGAUUGUUCUGAUAUUGCUGUAAUGGGACAGAAGUUGCACGGAAAGUCAUGAGUGAUGUAGUAAGUAAUGAUUUGAAUUGAUUGUUUUGAUCAUAUUUAGCUGUAACAGCUGGAUUUGCAAGAGGAUUAGAAUGGUAAAUAUUAAUGGGCCAAACAAAUAUGUAUGUGCCUCAUUCCUGCCACUGACAAAAAGCUACUUGGAUUUUAUUUAAUUAACACACACACACACACACACACACACACAUAUAUAUAUAUAUAUAUAUAUAUAUAUAUAUA
Molecule: long non-coding RNA, 1176 nt
Filed under: Sinocyclocheilus grahami
Lineage: Eukaryota; Metazoa; Chordata; Actinopteri; Cypriniformes; Cyprinidae
Description: lncRNA (ENSSGRG00000008185.1)
Source: RNAcentral